Molecule: transfer RNA, 74 nt
Filed under: Nephromyces sp. ex Molgula occidentalis
Lineage: Eukaryota; Apicomplexa; Aconoidasida; Nephromycida
Description: tRNA-Arg
Rfam family: tRNA
About the family: Transfer RNA (tRNA) molecules are approximately 80 nucleotides in length. Their secondary structure includes four short double-helical elements and three loops (D, anti-codon, and T loops).
Source: RNAcentral
AGACUCGUAUCUCAGUGGAUUAGAGUUUGUAGCUACGGACUACAAUGACAUGGGUUCAAAUCCCUUCGAGUCUA